UACGAAGGGGGCUAGCGUUGCUCGGAAUUACUGGGCGUAAAGCGCACGUAGGCGGCUUCUUAAGUCGGUGGUGAAAUCCUGGAGCUCAACUCCAGAACUGCCUUCGAUACUGGGAAGCUCGAGUCCGGGAGAGGUGAGUGGAACUGCGAGUGUAGAGGUGAAAUUCGUAGAUAUUCGCAAGAACACCAGUGGCGAAGGCGGCUCACUGGCUCGGUACUGACGCUGAGGUGCGAAAGCGUGGGGAGCAAACAGG
This 253-nucleotide ribosomal RNA is filed under the name uncultured bacterium. RNAcentral's name for it is "partial 16S ribosomal RNA". It matches the Rfam family "Bacterial small subunit ribosomal RNA", at positions 524 to 776 of the family's 1533-position model. The record is from RNAcentral.